GAUUUCCCUAGUAACGGCGAGUGAAGAGGAAGAGCUCAAAGUUGGAAACUGUUUGGCUUAGCUAAACCGUAUUGUAAACUGUAGAAACAUUUUCCUGGCACGCCGGAUUAAUAAGUCCUUUGGAACAAGGCAUCAUGGAGGGUGAGAAUCCCGUCUUUGAUCCGAGUAGUUGUCUUUUGUGAUAUGUUUUCAAAGAGUCAGGUUGUUUGGGAAUGCAGCCUAAAUUGGGUGGUAAAUCUCACCUAAAGCUAAAUAUUUGCGAGAGACCGAUAGCGAACAAGUACCGUGAGGGAAAGAUGAAAAGAACUUUGAAAAGAGAGUUAAACAGUAUGUGAAAUUGUUAAAAGGGAACCGUUUGGAGCCAGACUGGUUUGACUGUAAUCAACCUAGAAUUCGUUCUGGGUGCACUUGCAGUCUAUACCUGCCAACAACAGUUUGAUUUGGAGGAAAAAAUUAGUAGGAAUGUAGCCUCUCGAGGUGUUAUAGCCUACUAUCAUACUCUGGAUUGGACUGAGGAACGCAGCGAAUGCCAUUAGGCGAGAUUGCUGGGUGCUUUCGCUAAUAAAUGUUAGAAUUUCUGCUUCGGGUGGUGCUAAUGUUUAAAGGAGGAACACAUCUAGUAUAUUUUUUUAUUCCGCUUAGGGUUGU
This 648-nucleotide ribosomal RNA is filed under the name Mucor circinelloides. RNAcentral's name for it is "partial large subunit ribosomal RNA". It matches the Rfam family "Eukaryotic large subunit ribosomal RNA", at positions 73 to 626 of the family's 3401-position model. The record is from RNAcentral. Lineage: Eukaryota; Fungi; Mucoromycota; Mucoromycetes; Mucorales; Mucoraceae.